Molecule: ribosomal RNA, 492 nt
Filed under: uncultured bacterium
Lineage: Bacteria
Description: partial 16S ribosomal RNA
Rfam family: Bacterial small subunit ribosomal RNA
Source: RNAcentral
AGUGAACGCUGGCGGUAGGCCUAACACAUGCAAGUCGAACGGCAGCACAGUAAGAGCUUGCUCUUACGGGUGGCGAGUGGCGGACGGGUGAGGAAUACAUCGGAAUCUACUUUUUCGUGGGGGAUAACGUAGGGAAACUUACGCUAAUACCGCAUACGUCCUACGGGUGAAAGCAGGGGAUCUUCGGACCUUGCGCGAUUGAAUAAGCCGAUGUCGGAUUAGCUAGUUGGCGGGGUAAAGGCCCACCAAGGCGACGAUCCGUAGCUGGUCUGAGAGGAUGAUCAGACACACGGGAACUGAGACACGGUCCAGACUCCUACGGGAGGCAGCAGUGGGGAAUAUUGGACAAUGGGCGAAAGCCUGAUCCAGCAAUACCGCGUGGGUGAAGAAGGCCUUCGGGUUGUAAAGCCCUUUUGUUGGGAAAGAAAAGCAGCAGGUUAAUACCCCGCUGUUCUGACGGUACCCAAAGAAUAAGCACCGGCUAACUUCGUG